RNAcentral lists this ribosomal RNA (472 nucleotides) under uncultured bacterium. Its description in RNAcentral is "bacterial SSU rRNA". It matches the Rfam family "Bacterial small subunit ribosomal RNA", at positions 328 to 792 of the family's 1533-position model. The record is from RNAcentral.
CCCCCAGACUCCUACGGGAGGCAGCAGUGGGGAAUAUUGCGCAAUGGGCGAAAGCCUGACGCAGCGACGCCGCGUGAGGGAUGAAGGUCUUCGGAUCGUAAACCUCUGUCAGCAGGGAAGAACGGUCACUGUGCUAAUCAGCAGUGAAUUGACGGUACCUGCAAAGGAAGCACCGGCUAACUACGUGCCAGCAGCCGCGGUAAUACGUAAGUGGCAAGCGUUGUCCGGAUUUACUGGGUGUAAAGGGCGUGUAGCCGGGCUGACAAGUCAGAUGUGAAAUCCGGGGGCUCAACCCCCGAACUGCAUUUGAAACUGUUGGUCUUGAGUAUCGGAGAGGCAGGCGGAAUUCCUAGUGUAGCGGUGAAAUGCGUAGAUAUUAGGAGGAACACCAGUGGCGAAGGCGGCCUGCUGGACGACAACUGACGGUGAGGCGCGAAAGCGUGGGGAGCAAACAGGAUUAGAUACCCCAGUA